CCCUUAGAUGUUCUGGGCCGCACGCGCGCUACACUGAUGCAUUCAACGAGUCUAAAACCUGCUCUGAUAGGGGUGGGUAAUCUUUUGAAUGUGCAUCGUGAUUGGGAUAGAUGAUUGCAAUUUUUCAUCUUCAACGAGGAAUGCCUAGUAAACGCAAGUCAUCAGCUUGCAUUGAUUACGUCCCUGCCCUUUGUACACACCGCCCGUCGCUCCUACCGAUUGAAUGAUCCGAUGAAUAUCAUGGAUUGAGGAUGCAAGUAGGUUCGCCUAUCUUCAUCUUCGAGAAGUGAAGUAAAUCUUAUCAUUUGGAGGAAGGAGAAGUCGUAACA
This 329-nucleotide ribosomal RNA is filed under the name uncultured eukaryote. Its description in RNAcentral is "partial 18S ribosomal RNA". It matches the Rfam family "Eukaryotic small subunit ribosomal RNA", at positions 1470 to 1796 of the family's 1831-position model. The record is from RNAcentral.